UACGGAGGAUGCGAGCGUUAUCCGGAUUUAUUGGGUGUAAAGGGAGCGUAGGCGGGAUAUUAAGUUGAAUGUAUAAACUACCGGCUUAACCGAUAGAAGCGUUCAAAACUGAUAUUCUUGAGUGAAGUAGAGGCAGGCGGAAUUCCUAGUGUAGCGGUGAAAUGCGUAGAUAUUAGGAGGAACACCAGUGGCGAAGGCGGCCUGCUGGGCUUUAACUGACGCUGAGGCUCGAAAGCGUGGGUAGCAAACAGG
This 252-nucleotide ribosomal RNA is filed under the name uncultured bacterium. Its description in RNAcentral is "partial 16S ribosomal RNA". It matches the Rfam family "Bacterial small subunit ribosomal RNA", at positions 524 to 776 of the family's 1533-position model. The record is from RNAcentral.